CCUACGGGGGGCAGCAGUGGGGAAUAUUGGGCAAUGGGCGCAAGCCUGACCCAGCAACGCCGCGUGAAGGAAGAAGGCUCUCGGGUUGUAAACUUCUUUUAUCAGGGACGAAACAAGUGACGGUACCUGAUGAAUAAGCACCGGCUAACUACGUGCCAGCAGCCGCGGUAAUACGUAGGGGGCAAGCGUUAUCCGGAUUUACUGGGUGUAAAGGGCGUGUAGGCGGGUGUGCAAGUCAGAUGUGAAAUCUUAUGGCUUAACCAUGGAACUGCAUUUGAAACUGUAGUUCUUGAGUGAUGGAGAGGUAGGUGGAAUUCCGGGUGUAGCGGUGAAAUGCGUAGAGAUAAGGAGGAAUACUAGUUGCGAAGGCGGCCUGCUGGACAUUAACUGACGCUGAGGCGCGAAAGCGUGGGGAGCAAACAGGAUUAGAUACCCGGGUAGUC
Molecule: ribosomal RNA, 443 nt
Filed under: uncultured bacterium
Lineage: Bacteria
Description: partial 16S ribosomal RNA
Rfam family: Bacterial small subunit ribosomal RNA
Source: RNAcentral